This 468-nucleotide ribosomal RNA is filed under the name uncultured bacterium. RNAcentral describes it as "partial 16S ribosomal RNA". It matches the Rfam family "Bacterial small subunit ribosomal RNA", at positions 28 to 507 of the family's 1533-position model. The record is from RNAcentral.
GACGAACGCUGGCGGCGUGCUUAACACAUGCAAGUCGAACGGAAAGGCCCUGCUUUUGUGGGGUGCUCGAGUGGCGAACGGGUGAGUAACACGUGAGUAACCUGCCCUUGACUUUGGGAUAACUUCAGGAAACUGGGGCUAAUACCGGAUAGGAGCUCCUGCUGCAUGGUGGGGGUUGGAAAGUUUCGGCGGUUGGGGAUGGACUCGCGGCUUAUCAGCUUGUUGGUGGGGUAGUGGCUUACCAAGGCUUUGACGGGUAGCCGGCCUGGGAGGGUGACCGGCCACAUUGGGACUGAGAUACGGCCCAGAAGCCUACGGGAGGCAGCAGUGGGGAGUAUUGCACAAUGGGCGGAAGUCUGAUGCAGCAACGCCGCGUGCGGGAUGACGGCCUUCGGGUUGUAAACCGCUUUCGCCUGUGACGAAGCGUGAGUGACGGUAAUGGGUAAGAAAGCACCGGCUAACUACGUG